GAUGAACGCUGGCGGCGUGCCUAAUACAUGCAAGUCGAGCGAACGGACGAGAGGCUUGCUUCUCUGAUGUUAGCGGCGGACGGGUGAGUAACACGUGGAUAACCUACCUAUAAGACUGGGAUAACUUCGGGAAACCGGAGCUAAUACCGGAUAAUAUUUUGAACCGCAUGGUUCAAAAGUGAAAGACGGUCUUGCCGUCACUUAUAGAUGGAUCCGCGCUGCAUUAGCUAGUUGGUAAGGUAACGGCUUACCAAGGCAACGAUGCAUAGCCGACCUGAGAGGGUGAUCGGCCACACUGGAACUGAGACACGGUCCAGACUCCUACGGGAGGCAGCAGUAGGGAAUCUUCCGCAAUGGGCGAAAGCCUGACGGAGCAACGCCGCGUGAGUGAUGAAGGUCUUCGGAUCGUAAAACUCUGUUAUUAGGGAAGAACAUAUGUGUAAGUAACUGUGCACAUCUUGACGGUACCUAAUCAGAAAGCCACGGCUAACUACGUG
This 497-nucleotide ribosomal RNA is filed under the name uncultured bacterium. RNAcentral's name for it is "partial 16S ribosomal RNA". It matches the Rfam family "Bacterial small subunit ribosomal RNA", at positions 28 to 507 of the family's 1533-position model. The record is from RNAcentral.